AGUAAUGUUGAGGAAUGAUGGUUC
RNAcentral lists this small RNA (24 nucleotides) under Brassica napus (rape). RNAcentral describes it as "PsRNA_28". Lineage: Eukaryota; Viridiplantae; Streptophyta; Magnoliopsida; Brassicales; Brassicaceae. The record is from RNAcentral.